UGGGGAAUAUUGCACAAUGGAGGGAACUCUGAUGCAGCGACGCCGCGUGAACGAAGAAGGCUUUCGAGUCGUAAAGUUCUUUUAUAUGGGAAGAUAAUGACGGUACCAUAAGAAGAAGCCCCGGCUAACUACGUGCCAGCAGCCGCGGUAAUACGUAGGGGGCUAGCGUUGUCCGGAAUCACUGGGCGUAAAGGAUUCGCAGGCGGAAAUGCAAGUCAGGUGUAAAAGGCAGUAGCUUAACUACUGUAAGCAUUUGAAACUGCAUAUCUUGAGAAGAGUAGAGGUAAGUGGAAUUUUUAGUGUAGCGGUGAAAUGCGUAGAUAUUAAAAAGAAUACCGGUGGCGAAGGCGACUUACUGGGCUCAUUCUGACGCUGAGGAACGAAAGCGUGGGUAGCAAACAGG
RNAcentral lists this ribosomal RNA (403 nucleotides) under bacterium. Its description in RNAcentral is "partial 16S ribosomal RNA". It matches the Rfam family "Bacterial small subunit ribosomal RNA", at positions 355 to 776 of the family's 1533-position model. The record is from RNAcentral.